AGAGUUUGAUCCUGGCUCAGAGCGAACGCUGGCGGCAGGCUUAACACAUGCAAGUCGAGCGGGCGUAGCAAUACGUCAGCGGCAGACGGGUGAGUAACGCGUGGGAACGUACCUUUUGGUUCGGAACAACCCAGGGAAACUUGGGCUAAUACCGGAUAAGCCCUUACGGGGAAAGAUUUAUCGCCGAAAGAUCGGCCCGCGUCUGAUUAGCUAGUUGGUGAGGUAACGGCUCACCAAGGCGACGAUCAGUAGCUGGUCUGAGAGGAUGAUCAGCCACAUUGGGACUGAGACACGGCCCAAACUCCUACGGGAGGCAGCAGUGGGGAAUAUUGGACAAUGGGCGCAAGCCUGAUCCAGCCAUGCCGCGUGAGUGAUGAAGGCCCUAGGGUUGUAAAGCUCUUUUGUGCGGGAAGAUAAUGACGGUACCGCAAGAAUAAGCCCCGGCUAACUUCGUGCCAGCAGCCGCGGUAAUACGAAGGGGGCUAGCGUUGCUCGGAAUCACUGGGCGUAAAGGGUGCGUAGGCGGGUCUUUAAGUCAGGGGUGAAAUCCUGGAGCUCAACUCCAGAACUGCCUUUGAUACUGAAGAUCUUGAGUUCGGGAGAGGUGAGUGGAACUGCGAGUGUAGAGGUGAAAUUCGUAGAUAUUCGCAAGAACACCAGUGGCGAAGGCGGCUCACUGGCCCGAUACUGACGCUGAGGCACGAAAGCGUGGGGAGCAAACAGGAUUAGAUACCCCAGUAGUCC
This 744-nucleotide ribosomal RNA is filed under the name uncultured bacterium. RNAcentral's name for it is "bacterial SSU rRNA". It matches the Rfam family "Bacterial small subunit ribosomal RNA", at positions 8 to 796 of the family's 1533-position model. The record is from RNAcentral.